AACGAACGCUGGCGGCAGGCCUAACACAUGCAAGUCGAACGGCAGCACAGGAGAGCUUGCUCUCUGGGUGGCGAGUGGCGGACGGGUGAGGAAUACAUCGGAAUCUACUCUGGCGUGGGGGAUAACGUAGGGAAACUUACGCUAAUACCGCAUACGACCUACGGGUGAAAGCAGGGGACCUUCGGGCCUUGCGCGAUUGAAUGAGCCGAUGUCGGAUUAGCUAGUUGGCGGGGUAAAGGCCCACCAAGGCGACGAUCCGUAGCUGGUCUGAGAGAAUGAUCAGCCACGCUGGAACUGAGAAACGGUCCAGACUCCUACAGGAGGCAGCAGUGGGGAAUAUUGGACAAUGGGCGCAAGCCUGAUCCAGCCAUACCGCGUGGGUGAAGAAGGCCUUCGGGUUGUAAAGCCCUUUUGUUGGGAAAGAAAUCCAGCUGGCUAAUACCCGGUUGGGAUGACGGUACCCAAAGAAUAAGCACCGGCUAACUUCGUGCCAGCAGCCGCCGUAA
RNAcentral lists this ribosomal RNA (506 nucleotides) under uncultured bacterium. RNAcentral describes it as "partial 16S ribosomal RNA". It matches the Rfam family "Bacterial small subunit ribosomal RNA", at positions 29 to 523 of the family's 1533-position model. The record is from RNAcentral.